UACGUAGGUGGCAAGCGUUGUCCGGAAUUAUUGGGCGUAAAGCGCGCGCAGGCGGUCCUUUAAGUCUGAUGUGAAAGCCCACGGCUCAACCGUGGAGGGUCAUUGGAAACUGGGGGACUUGAGUGCAGAAGAGGAAAGUGGAAUUCCAUGUGUAGCGUUGAAAUGCGUAGAGAUGUGGAGGAACACCAGUGGCGAAGGCGACUUUCUGGUCUGUAACUGACGCUGAGGCGCGAAAGCUAGGGUAGCAAACGGG
This 253-nucleotide ribosomal RNA is filed under the name uncultured bacterium. RNAcentral's name for it is "partial 16S ribosomal RNA". It matches the Rfam family "Bacterial small subunit ribosomal RNA", at positions 524 to 776 of the family's 1533-position model. The record is from RNAcentral.